This 477-nucleotide ribosomal RNA is filed under the name Paraburkholderia polaris. RNAcentral describes it as "Paraburkholderia sp. RP-4-7 partial 23S ribosomal RNA". It matches the Rfam family "Bacterial large subunit ribosomal RNA", at positions 1 to 511 of the family's 2925-position model. The record is from RNAcentral. Lineage: Bacteria; Pseudomonadati; Pseudomonadota; Betaproteobacteria; Burkholderiales; Burkholderiaceae.
GUUAUAGGGUCAAGCGAACAAGUGCAUGUGGUGGAUGCCUUGGCGAUCACAGGCGAUGAAGGACGCGGUAGCCUGCGAAAAGCGACGGGGAGCUGGCAAACGAGCUUUGAUCCGUCGAUGUCCGAAUGGGGAAACCCACCUCUUUUGAGGUAUCCGUGACUGAAUACAUAGGUCACGUGAAGCGAACGCGGUGAACUGAAACAUCUAAGUAACCGCAGGAAAAGAAAUCAACCGAGAUUCCCAGAGUAGUGGCGAGCGAAAUGGGACCAGCCUGUACUCUUUAUCUUCAUUGUUAGUCGAAGGCUCUGGAAAGUGCCGCCAUAGCAGGUGAUAGCCCUGUAGACGAAAACAGCGAGGAAGAACUGGGUGUACGACAAGUAGGGCGGGACACGUGAAAUCCUGUCUGAAGAUGGGGGGACCAUCCUCCAAGGCUAAAUACUCGUGAUCGACCGAUAGUGAACCAGUACCGUGAGGGAA